UACAUUCUUUGGUCUUUACAACGUUUUGGGUCGUGGCUGUAAAACCCCCCGACAGUUCAACCGUUUUGACCACUUGGUAUUCAAUCAUAUGACUCAGAUGGGGGAAACAGACUAUUCAACUUAUAUACGUUGAUUUCAAUCUUCGCUAGGAUUUGGGAUUUGAUACCAUUUGCUGCAUCUGGUAAACGGAUCGGAUCCUUUCACGUUUCA
This 210-nucleotide long non-coding RNA is filed under the name Theobroma cacao (cacao). Its description in RNAcentral is "long non-coding RNA (TCAC_LNC000207)". The record is from RNAcentral. Lineage: Eukaryota; Viridiplantae; Streptophyta; Magnoliopsida; Malvales; Malvaceae.